AACGAACGCUGGCGGCAUGCCUAACACAUGCAAGUCGAACGAGACCUUCCGGUCUAGUGGCGCUCCGGUGCGUAACGCGUGGUCACUUGCCCUUAGGUUCCGUCUCCCUCCUCGUAAGGUGUGCUAAUACCGGUUCAUGUCUUCGGACCUAAGAUUUAUCGCCUUUGGAUGGGCCCUCGUUGGAUUAGCUGGUUGGUUGUGUAAAAGCCUAUCAUGGCGUCGAUCCAUAGCUGGUAGGAUAGGAUGAUCAGCCACACUGGGACUGAGACACGGCCCAGACUGGUACGGGAGGGAGCAGAGGGGAAUAUAGGACAAGGGAGGAAAGCGUGAUAAAGCAAUGCCGCGUGAGUGAUGAAGGCGGUAGGGAAGUAAAGCUCUUUUAGCCGAGAUGAGAAUGACAGUAACGGGAGAAGAAGCACCGGCUAACUCCGUG
RNAcentral lists this ribosomal RNA (433 nucleotides) under uncultured bacterium. RNAcentral describes it as "partial 16S ribosomal RNA". It matches the Rfam family "Bacterial small subunit ribosomal RNA", at positions 29 to 507 of the family's 1533-position model. The record is from RNAcentral.